AUGAACGCUGGCGGCGUGCCUCAUACAUGCAAGUCGAGCGAACAGACGAGGAGCUUGCUCCUCUGACGUUAGCGGCGGACGGGUGAGUAACACGUGGAUAACCUACCUAUAAGACUGGGAUAACUUCGGGAAACCGGAGCUAAUACCGGAUAAUAUAUUGAACCGCAUGGUUCAAUAGUGAAAGACGGUUUUGCUGUCACUUAUAGAUGGAUCCGCGCCGCAUUAGCUAGUUGGUAAGGUAACGGCUUACCAAGGCAACGAUGCGUAGCCGACCUGAGAGGGUGAUCGGCCACACUGGAACUGAGACACGGUCCAGACUCCUACGGGAGGCAGCAGUAGGGAAUCUUCCGCAAUGGGCGAGAGCCUGACGGAGCAACGCCGCGUGAGUGAUGAAGGUCUUCGGAUCGUAAAACUCUGUUAUUAGGGAAGAACAAAUGUGUAAGUAACUAUGCACGUCUUGACGGUACCUAAUCAGAAAGCCACGGCUAACUACGUG
Molecule: ribosomal RNA, 496 nt
Filed under: uncultured bacterium
Lineage: Bacteria
Description: partial 16S ribosomal RNA
Rfam family: Bacterial small subunit ribosomal RNA
Source: RNAcentral